RNAcentral lists this ribosomal RNA (253 nucleotides) under uncultured bacterium. RNAcentral describes it as "partial 16S ribosomal RNA". It matches the Rfam family "Bacterial small subunit ribosomal RNA", at positions 524 to 776 of the family's 1533-position model. The record is from RNAcentral.
GACAGAGGGUGCAAACGUUGUUCGGAAUUACUGGGCGUAAAGCGUGUGUAGGCGGUCCUCUAAGUCGGGUGUGAAAGCCCUGGGCUCAACCCAGGAAGUGCACUCGAAACUGGAGGGCUAGAGUAUCGGAGAGGUUGGUGGAAUUCUCGGUGUAGAGGUGAAAUUCGUAGAUAUCGAGAGGAACACCGGUGGCGAAGGCGGCCAACUGGACGAAUACUGACGCUGAGGAGCGAAAGCGUGGGGAGCGAACAGG